AAAUCUCAACCUUUUCAAUUUUGUUGAAUUAGGCUUGGAUUUUUUGGGAGUAGUUUGCAGGCUUCUCAGAAGUCUGCUCUCCUUAAAUGUAUUAGCGGGCCCUUGCUGUCUAGCAUUUUGGUGUGAUAAUUAUCUACGCCAUUGUGAACAGCAUAAUAAGGAGUUCAGCUUCUAGCAACCUCUGACU
RNAcentral lists this unclassified non-coding RNA (187 nucleotides) under uncultured Tricholoma. Its description in RNAcentral is "sequence contains ITS2". The record is from RNAcentral. Lineage: Eukaryota; Fungi; Basidiomycota; Agaricomycetes; Agaricales; Tricholomataceae.